Molecule: long non-coding RNA, 578 nt
Organism: Epinephelus lanceolatus (giant grouper)
Lineage: Eukaryota; Metazoa; Chordata; Actinopteri; Perciformes; Serranidae
Source: RefSeq, a predicted model, not a curated record
CUGGCUUGGAGGCACGCCCACCCCCUGGUCGCCACACUUCUUUCCGAUCCACCAGACCUGUUACAGGCUUUUGGUGUGUUGCUAGUUCCGUGACACUGACGCUCGUUAACGAGCAGGACGCACAUAGUGCUUUCCAACUCCGGUGAUGAACGGAAGCUGUCUAACGGGACUGGUUAAUCGCUCACAGAGGAGCUAGUGUGCAACGUUAAUUUAACGCCAAACCCCUGCUGCUUUGUCUGCUUUGCUCUGCUGUGCGUGGACUGGUGUUUUACUGGCACCUGCUGUGUUGCGUGGCACUGCCGGUGUUUCUUCACGCCACGCCGGCUUGGUUCACUUUGGCGUUUUUGCAGCUCUGGUAUCAAUGACCAUUUGGUGAUGUUGGUAGCGGCAUGGACACACAGUAUAAAUUGCCAGUCUCCCAGUCUUGGGCUAAUAAUUUUGGGGUUAAUUAAUAGGGUUUAUUUGAUUUAUUUUCCCGAGUUGUCUAAUCAUAGGUUUAUUUUGUAACAUUGUUUCAUGCACAUUGUAUAAUUUCGAACAUUUCUGUUGUUGGUUUAGUUUAUUCAGUUAAAGUGAUG